Macrobrachium nipponense is the source of this 483-nucleotide long non-coding RNA. RefSeq lists it as uncharacterized. The record is from RefSeq and is a predicted model, not a curated record. NCBI's taxonomy places the organism in Eukaryota, Metazoa, Arthropoda, Malacostraca, Decapoda, Palaemonidae. The transcript has 3 exons.
GUCGAGUUGUGGAAUUCGUCGAGGACGGACGCGUCGCUCCUCCGGGAUACGCCCCUCGCUUGACUCUGUAGAGACGAUAGGACAGGUGCAAGUAAAACCAAUAAAGCAAGGAGAGCAAAAACAGCAGAGAUAUCGUCUGGGCGAGAAACUUUGAUUUUAACGAACUGUCUUCUUGUAGUCUACUAUCAGUGCGAGCUUCAGUCAGCCAUAGACCUUGCAUACAGUUUAUUACUACCAAUAAAUCGUAACUUUUUGUUGGUGAGAGAAAAGAAAAGCACGGCGAUGUGUUUGCUUCCAUCGUUCACUUUCAUCUUCGCUUUCUUCAGCGGCCUCGUUGCUUCUAAGAGCACCGAAGACUCGAUGAUCAACGUGUGGGUGGUGUCUGGGGGGAGGGCCAGCCUGCCUUGUCUGCCGAAACCGAAAAUGAAAGACGACCAGCCAGUGCUGGUCCUUUGGUAUCGCCGAUUCAGCAGUUCUCUACCC